GAAGGGGAAACGCCCGGUCCCAUUCCGAACCCGGAAGCUAAGCCCUUCAGCGCCGAUGGUACUGCACCCGCCAGGGUGUGGGAGAGUAGGACGCCGCCGGAC
RNAcentral lists this ribosomal RNA (102 nucleotides) under Cellulomonas sp. zg-ZUI22. RNAcentral also lists the same sequence under 1 other name. Lineage: Bacteria; Bacillati; Actinomycetota; Actinomycetes; Micrococcales; Cellulomonadaceae. The record is from RNAcentral.